This is a long non-coding RNA of Alosa sapidissima (American shad), 2036 nucleotides long. RefSeq lists it as uncharacterized. The transcript has 2 exons. The record is from RefSeq and is a predicted model, not a curated record. Lineage: Eukaryota; Metazoa; Chordata; Actinopteri; Clupeiformes; Clupeidae.
UACGCACAUCUAUAUACAUUUUACAGGUGCUGGAUACUGGGAAUACUAAGUAAAAUAAAAGAAGAGAUAUCCGCACACUGUGUCUAAAGCUCCCAGUUUAAUGGUGGGUGAUACACAACGUUUCGACCACUCAGGUCUUCGUCAGGCGUCUUAAACCCUCAGCUUCCCUGGAAUCAUUUUGGCUUCAACACAAUUGUAUUGAUAUCCCUCUCACUCUUCCUUGGUGUCUUAAAACCGAUCAUUGUGUGCAUGAAAUCCUUCACGUACACACGAUACAAUUUUGCAACAUAUGCAGUAGCCAUGGACAAGUACAGAAACCACAUCUUCCCCUGUCUUUAAUGCAUCUUAACUCUCAGUUCCUAUAGAAACAUCUCUUCCUCUGAUGGUAGACAAAGCAGCUUUUUCAGCAAUUUUGCUGGACUAUGUUAGAAAUUAGGUAAAUUGUGGUUGCCCAGAAGGAAAAAAAAAAAUGAUCAAAAAGAUUGUUUUUAUUAUUCAAAAUUUGAAACUUGUUCGAAUUCGAAACAACUCGAAACUUCUUGCUUAUACUGUAUAUAAAUAAGACAGUUGAGAGCGACAGGAAGUGAGUGUUGAAAAGUUUUCAAACUGAAUAAGCCAAUAAGAGCAGAGCAGCAUCACAUCUUAAGUUCCAGAGGGUGUAUAUAGUGGUGCAGGAAAUAGAGCAAGAUCAGUAAUUGAUGAGCAGAUUCUGAUUAAGGUCAACUGUGAAAGGUUCAGCACAAUGAUUUUUGAAUAUGUAAAACCUAUCCUGAAAGCAGAUGCUUUGAUGUGUAUCAUCCUUGUAGUAGUGGAGUUGCUGCUAGAGAAUGCGUUUGCCUGUCCUUGCAAUCAGAACAACAUUUUUUUCUGCUAUGGGCUUCUUUCUGGUUCAAGUCUCAUCAUCAUUUUUGUCUCAUUGCUCAUCCAGACUCCUCACUACAAGAAACUGAAGGACUGUUGUGGUGGCUCUCUUUUUAACUGUUUGGUCGGCAUAUUUAUGUCAGCGUUGAUUUCCUUGUUAACUUGGCUCACUGUGUGGUACCUUGAUGGACAUUACUCUGUCUGCAAGUGGAGCACCUGGGAUGGCGUUUGGACAGAGAACUCUUUGCAAGCCCCCAACAAAUGGUGCAAGCCUUUAGGUGGCAACAAUACCUUCAUCAAACUGCAAGAACUGAACUCUACAAAGUGGUCCACUGAAUCUCAGGAAAUAUCCAUCAAGCUCUUCGUUGGCCUUACUGGGUGUAUACUUGUCUACACUUCUAUGCUGAUUUAUAUUAGUUAUAAUGAUGGGGAAAAUGUAUGAAUGCAGUGCCUAUUGGUACACACAUGUGUAAAUAAAUUAAUGAAUAGACUUUAUUGUCAUGUCAGGCGUAAAAACGGUCCUCAGUCUCACCAAUACAAUAGACAGUACAAUUUACACAGUAUAGACACAAAUACAUAAAACUGUUCACUGAGACACAACAUAUCCACAGGAUACAUAAUUUUAAAUACAAGUAGGUCUUGGUUGCACACACACAGGCAUGCUCACUCUCACUCCCUCACAGACACACACACACACACACUCCUUCCAGACCUGGCCAAACUAGGCUCCCAUGUUUAUUUUUUCCCGGGUUUAUUGACCAUACUAAAUCCAUUUGGUAAGAAAGAACCUUUUUUUCUUUUUCUAUUUUUUGACUUUGCUUAAAGCAGCACUAAAGAUUUGUUCUGGGGGUCCCCCUAGAGUUGAGAAGUGCAAUAACAAAGGCAUGUGUUCCUACAGAAAACUUCCUAGGCUAUUUUUACAAGCGAUAAGACCUGCUCAGAGUGCGGCAGAAGUGCUUUUCCCCUUUUAAGAGUGUAUGUGCCAUCAAAAUGAUUUCCAGAAUGACUCUUAAAAGCAUGCAUAACUAGUAUUGCUGUACAAAUGCUGUAAAAUAUGCUAACAUCUGUCCAAUGACAUGCCAUUUAAUACCUUAUAAUGUGAACUCUGGUCAUCAGUUCAUGAACAUACAGAAAACUAUUGUACUAAAUUGACAAAUAAAUGUUAAAAAAAUCUU